CUCCUACGGGUGGCAGCAGUCGAGAAUCUUCGGCAAUGAGCGCAAGCUUGACCGAGCGACGCCGCGUGCGGGAUGAAGGCCUUCGGGUUGUAAACCGCUUUGGUCCGAAAGAAAGGGUAAAACUUGAUCGAUCGGAGAAACAAGGACGGGCUAAGUUCGUGCCAGCAGCCGCGGUAAGACGAACCGUCCAAACGUUAUUCGGAAUCACUGGGCUUAAAGGGCGCGUAGGCGGCCGAGCGGGUCGUGGGUGAAAUCCCCCAGCUUAACUGGGGAACUGCUUACGAUACCACUGCGGCUCGAGGAAGGAAGGGGCAAUUGGAACUGUCGGUGGAGCGGUGAAAUGCGUUGAUAUCGACAGGAACGCCUGUGGCGAAAGCGAAUUGCUGGUCCUUUUCUGACGCUGAGGCGCGAAAGCCAGGGGAGCAAACGGGAUUAGAUACCCCGGUAGUCCUGGCCUUAAACGAUGAGAACUAGGUAGUGGGUCCGACCUGGGCACACUGCCGAAGCGAAAGUCUUAAGUCUCCGCC
RNAcentral lists this ribosomal RNA (527 nucleotides) under uncultured bacterium. RNAcentral's name for it is "bacterial SSU rRNA". It matches the Rfam family "Bacterial small subunit ribosomal RNA", at positions 336 to 873 of the family's 1533-position model. The record is from RNAcentral.